This 498-nucleotide ribosomal RNA is filed under the name uncultured bacterium. Its description in RNAcentral is "partial 16S ribosomal RNA". It matches the Rfam family "Bacterial small subunit ribosomal RNA", at positions 30 to 523 of the family's 1533-position model. The record is from RNAcentral.
AUUGAACGCUGGCGGCAUGCUUUACACAUGCAAGUCGAACGGUAACAGGCCGCAAGGUGCUGACGAGUGGCGAACGGGUGAGUAAUGCAUCGGAACGUGCCCAGUCGUGGGGGAUAACGCAGCGAAAGCUGUGCUAAUACCGCAUACGAUCUAUGGAUGAAAGCGGGGGACCGUAAGGCCUCGCGCCAUUGGAGCGGCCGAUGUCAGAUUAGGUAGUUGGUGGGGUAAAGGCUCACCAAGCCAACGAUCUGUAGCUGGUCUGAGAGGACGACCAGCCACACUGGGACUGAGACACGGCCCAGACUCCUACGGGAGGCGGCAGUGGGGAAUUUUGGACAAUGGGCGCAAGCCUGAUCCAGCAAUGCCGCGUGCAGGAAGAAGGCCUUCGGGUCGUAAACUGCUUUUGUACGGAACGAAAAGGUUUGGGUUAAUACCCUGGGCCGAUGACGGUACCGUAAGAAUAAGCACCGGCUAACUACGUGCCAGCAGCCGCGGUAA